ACGGAAGGCAGCAGUGGGGGAUAUUGGACAAUGGGGGAAACCCUGAUCCAGCGACGCCGCGUGAGUGAAGAAGUAUUUCGGUACGUAAAGCUCUAUCAGCAAGGAAGAAAAUGACGGUACUUGACUAAGAAGCUCCGGCUAAAUACGUGCCAGCAGCCGCGGCAAUACGUAUGGAGCAAGCGUUAUCCGGAUUUACUGGGUGUAAAGGGAGCGUAGACGGCAAAGCAAGUCUGAAGUGAAAUCCCGGGGCUCAACCCCGGAACUGCUUUGGAAACUGUUUAGCUAGAGUGCAGGAGAGGUAAGCGGAAUUCCUAGUGUAGCGGUGAAAUGCGUAGAUAUUAGGAGGAACACCAGUGGCGAAGGCGGCUUACUGGACUGUAACUGACGUUGAGGCUCGAAAGCGUGGGGAGCAAACAGGAUUAGAUACCCUGGUA
This 434-nucleotide ribosomal RNA is filed under the name uncultured Lachnospiraceae bacterium. RNAcentral describes it as "partial 16S ribosomal RNA". It matches the Rfam family "Bacterial small subunit ribosomal RNA", at positions 341 to 792 of the family's 1533-position model. Lineage: Bacteria; Bacillati; Bacillota; Clostridia; Lachnospirales; Lachnospiraceae. The record is from RNAcentral.